RNAcentral lists this ribosomal RNA (1809 nucleotides) under human gut metagenome. RNAcentral's name for it is "bacterial LSU rRNA". It matches the Rfam family "Bacterial large subunit ribosomal RNA", at positions 1098 to 2925 of the family's 2925-position model. The record is from RNAcentral.
AGGUUGGCUCAGAAGCAGCCAUCCUUUAAAGAGUGCGUAACAGCUCACUAGUCGAGUGACCCUGCGCCGAAAAUGUACCGGGGCUAAGCCUGAUACCGAAACUGCGGAUUGUAGGAAACUAUAGUGGUAGGGGAGCGUUGUAUACGAGUAGAAGCCGUACCGUGAGGAGCGGUGGAUUGUAUAGAAGUGAGAAUGCCGGUGUGAGUAGCGAGAUGUAGGUGAGAAUCCUACACACCGAAAGCCCAAGGAUUCCAGGGGAAGGUUCGUCCGCCCUGGGUAAGUCGGGACCUAACGCGAGGCCGAAAGGCGUAGUGGAUGGAAAGCAGGCGAAAGAUUCCUGCACCCGUAUAUGGAGCGAAGGAGUGACGGAGACGGAUAGUGUGACCCUCUUAAUGGAUUGAGGGCGAAGCGAAGCGGCUGGUUACCAGGCAAAUCCGGUAACUGAAAGGCUAGAGCGUGACAGGCAAGCGAAAUCUUAGGAAAGUAGCGAAGCACAUGAUGACGGCUUCCAGGAAAAGCUUCUGGCAAUGCAUAUGCGGCCCGUACCAAAACCGACACAGGUGGGCAGGGAGAGAAUCCCGAGGUGAGCGAGAGAACUGUUGCCAAGGAACUCGGCAAAAUGACUCCGUAAGUUAGCGAGAAGGAGUGCUUAAGCAAUUAAGCCGCAGUGAAGAGGCCCAAGCGACUGUUUAACUAAAACACAGCUCUCUGCGAAGUCGCAAGACGAAGUAUAGGGGGUGACACCUGCCCGGUGCUGGAAGGUUAAGAGGAUCUGUUAAGAGCGAUCUGAAGCAGUGAUCCGAAGCCCCAGUGAACGGCGGCCGUAACUAUAACGGUCCUAAGGUAGCGAAAUUCCUUGUCAGGUAAGUUCUGACCCGCACGAAAGGUGUAACGAUUUGGGCGCUGUCUCGGCAGCAGACUCGGUGAAAUCUUAGUACCUGUGAAAAUGCAGGUUACCCGCAACUAGACGGAAAGACCCCAUGGAGCUUUACUGCAGCCUGAUAUUGAAUUCUGGUCAUACAUGUACAGGAUAGGUGGGAGACAAAGAGACGUGCACGCCAGUGUACGAGGAGUCGGCGUUGGGAUACCACUCUUGUGUGACCGGGGUUCUAACCUGGUAUCGAGAACAGGUACGGGGAGAGUGUCAGGUGGGCAGUUUGACUGGGGCGGUCGCCUCCCAAAGAGUAACGGAGGCGCCCAAAGGUACGCUCAGAUUGGAUGGAAACCAAUCGACGAGUGCAAUUGCAGAAGCGUGCUUGACUGUGAGACUUACAAGUCGAACAGGGACGAAAGUCGGGAAUAGUGAUCCGGCGGUGCCGAAUGGAAGGGCCGUCGCUCAACGGAUAAAAGCUACCCUGGGGAUAACAGGCUGAUCUCGCCCAAGAGUUCACAUCGACGGCGAGGUUUGGCACCUCGAUGUCGGCUCAUCGCAUCCUGGAGCUGGAUUCGGUUCCAAGGGUUGGGCUGUCCGCCCAUUAAAGCGGUACGCGAGCUGGGUUCAGAACGUCGUGAGACAGUUCGGUCCCUAUCUGUUGUGGGCGAAGGAGAUCUGCGGAGAGCUGUCCUCAGUACGAGAGGACCGGGAUGGACCUACCGCUGGUGCACCGGUUGUUCCGCCAGGGGCAUAGCCGGGUAGCUAAGUAGGGAAAGGAUAAGCGCUGAAAGCAUCUAAGCACGAAGCCUACUCCAAGAUGAGAUCUCCCAUUCGCAAGAAGUAAGACCCCUUAAAGACGAUAAGGUAGAUAGGCCAGGGAUGGAAGUGCAGUGAUGUACGGAGUUGACUGGUACUAAUCGGUCGAGGACUUAAUC